Molecule: long non-coding RNA, 4115 nt
Filed under: Sus scrofa (pig)
Lineage: Eukaryota; Metazoa; Chordata; Mammalia; Artiodactyla; Suidae
Description: lncRNA (ENSSSCG00000063033.1)
Source: RNAcentral
GCCUUUUCUAGGGCCGCAUCCACAGCAUAUGGAGGAUCCCAGGGUAGGGGUCUAAUCGGAGCUGCAGCCACCAGCCUUCGCCAGAACCACAGCAACACGGGAUCCGAGCCGUGUUUAUGACCUACACCACAGCUCAUGGCAACACCAGAGCCUCAACCCACUGAGCAAGGCCAGGGAUCGAACCUGCAACCUCAUGGUUCCUAGUUGGAUUCGUCAGCCACUGAGCCACGACGGGAACUCCAAGACCUCUCUUCUUGAUAGCGUUUUAUUUAUAGUUGAAAUAUAUCUUCAGUUGUUUUACUCUUUAAAGUAAGCUGAAUAGGAGUUCCUGUUGUGGCUCAGUGGUUAAUGAAUCUGACUAGGAACCAUGAGGUUGCGGGUUCGAUACCUGGCCUCAUUCAGUGGGUUAAGGAUCUGGCAAGUUGCCGUGAGCUGUGGUGUGGGUCACAGACACAGCUCGGACCCCACGAUGCUGUGGCUGUGGUGUAGGCCAGCAACUGUAGCUCUGAUUAGACCUCUAGCCUGGGAACCUCCACAUGCCUCAGGUAUGGUCCUAGAAAAAACAAAAAAUAAAAUAAAAUAAAAUGUGAUGAAAUUAGGAUGUAUGAUCCUGGAUUAUCCAGGUAGACCCUAUAUGCUUGUAUAGAUACAAGCCAGAAAAUGCUGACUGCCCAGAAACUGGAAGAGACAAGGAAAGAAUUCUCCCCUAGAGCUGAUUGAAGGAGUGUGGUACUGCCAUAACUUGAUUUCAGACUUCUGGUCUCCAGAAUUGUAAGAAAAGAAAUUUCUUUUGUUUUAAGCACCAAGUUUGUGGCAAUUCAUCACACCAGCCAUAGGAAACUAAUUUACUCCCCUACAAGGGAAGGGAACUUUAUCUGUAAUCUCAUCACCUGGAACAUUGUUGGUUAGCACUGAGGUUCUGUAUCUUUACUACAAUUCAGAAUAAUAUACAAAACUUUUAAAAAUUACUAGUGCCCAGACCAAGUAUCCUCCCACAGAAAUUUAGAUUUACUUGCAGUGAGGUGAGGUCUGGGCAUUAAAAAAUACAUACUAAUUUUCUAGAUUAUUUAAUGUGUAAUCAAAGUAGAGAAUUACAGGCAUCAAGAAUGACUGAAUGAUGGAAUUCCUGUUGUGGCUCAGCAGUAAUGAACCUGACUAGUAUCCAUGAGGAGGCCGGUUCUAUCCUUGGCCUCACUUAGUAGGUUAAGGAUCUGGUGUUGCUGUGAGCUGUGGUGUAGAUCACAGACGCAGCUUGGAUCCUGCAGUGGCAGUGGCAGUAUCUGUGGUUGUGGCUGGCAGCUGCAACUCCUAUUUGACCCCUAGCCUGGGAACUUCCAUAUGCCACAGAUACAGUCUUUAAAAAAGAAGAAAAGAAAAGAUUGAAUUAAAAGAGAGCUAUUUAGUAGGGUGUCAUACUAAGAGCAGUAGCUCUGGAAUCAGAUUGCCAGGUGUCCAGUCCCAGCUCGACAAUGUUUCAGCUGUGAGAGCUAAACCAAGCUGCCCAAUUCUCAGUUUUGUCACAUAUAAAAAAAAGAGACAGUAACCUUCAUUUACCAUAUUAUGAAGCUUAAAUAAAAUAAUGCAGAUUUUAAAAACUAUGGUAUGUAAUUCAUUACAAAGUCUUAAUAAAUGUUAGAUCUCAAUGUUAGAAAAAAAUUCGUUUCACAAUUCUUCAAUCAUUUAAAUUUGAGUUAAUUAGGAAGACUAAGGAUUUUCAUCAAAAUAAAUGUUUAAUAUUACAUAAAAUAAAUCUCAUAGUUCAAUUAUUUCAAUUUACUGAGCUUUUCAAAUUCUUAAAUAGUUUAUUACUAGUAACCCAGAGAUUUGCCAAGCAACUUCUUUAAAAAUCCUACAAUUGAAUUCCUUCUAUUGACCCAUACAAUAUGUUCUCUUAAUGUAAUUACAUUAUAAUUCCCUUGUUUAAGUUAAAAUUUGUAUUGCUUUGCAUGGUAGAGAAUGGAGCAACAUUUUGUAUAUAGUGGAGCCAUGCAAAUAUUUCCAAAGUUUGUUCCCCUUUCCCAAAUCCCCAUCUGUUUUGCUGAUGUGCCAAUAUCUGGGGUCUGUUUUUCAUAAUGUCAUUUUGUUUGUGAGGAUGUCUGUUCCUGAGAGUUCACGAGCUGGCUGACAAUGAAAAAGUGAUCACAAUCAGGCCAGGAAAUAUCCUGAAAAAUAAAGCAAAGCCAAGAAAGUCACUGCACCCUGCUGGCCAGUGCACAUGGAGGGCCUAGGAAGAGCAAGGGCAUCAGUUUCAGAAGCUACAGGAGAGGAUCUCCUUCGUGAUUAAAGAAACCUCUAGGGGGAAAGCACUAAAUAUUAGAAUCACAUCACAGCCGCUGAUACUCCUUCCAGAAUGGUUUAAAACAAAAUGAAUCUGUAUGGGAAAACAGUUUCAUCUUACAAAGAAAGAAAGCAAAUAAAAGAAAUUGCAAGUGACAUUUUAAAAAUUGCUCUCUCUGAAACAUCAAGAAAAGGAAGAUGAGAUGAGAGGAGGGAGAAAGACAAAAACAUUUAAAUAUUUAAGUAUUUAUUAGUUUUGUUUCCAUAUUUAACUAGAAGAAGACAGUCUGAGGACUGCCUGGGAUGUAAGUUUGUUUUCCUCUCCGAUUAUUUUGCAUAGCUGAUAAUUCUGUCUAGUUCACUCAACACUGAGUGGGUGAAUAUGUCAGAGAAGAGGAGGGUUUUCUCCCUGUUUUAAAAAAGGAGCAUCAAAAUUCUAGACAAUUUAUCUUUGUUAGAAUUUUACAUAAAAUUUCCAGUGUUCCCUGUAGGUCAGUUUUGUUUAAUGGUCUAUGGUAUAGAUGUAUACAAUUCUUAAAAUUUUAUCUACAUAUGAAAACUGCUGCUGAAAAAAUUUUUAGCAAGAGUAAAUCCCCAAUUGAUGUGAUAAUAAAGAGAAAAUCUUUAAUCUUAGGUUAUUCUAAUUUUAUGCUGAGUAGAAGGCAUGGUUGUUACACUGGAAUUAGAUUUAAAGACAAGUAAGGUCAUCUCUGAUGUAAGAAUUUUCAUACUGAUAGAAAAUAGAAGUUCUUUUCUCUUGGGUAAUGUGACAGUUCUGAUUUCCACAUAGGAGAUGGUAAACAGAGGUUUGAAAAAUGCUCUCAAAGUAGCCUGUGUAACUUCCUUGAUAGCACAUCGCUAGGAAGAAUUUAGACCAUUAUUUCUGCAUUUUUAACCUCCAUUUUAUCAAUAAAUACUUUAGAAAGAACAAGUGAGUUCACAGAGUGCCUGAGAAAUGUGCAAAGAUUCUGGAACAGUCCAACCCAGAUUACACACUGUGGGCCAUCAGCCUGACAGCCAUUGAACAAGGCUUCAUUUGGCAAUAGGAAACCAAGAGGAAAAAUAAAGAAUGCAAUUCCUCUCCAGCCCUGUUUAAUCAUUUUCAAGUAGACUAGCUUAGAACGACAUAAUCUGUAAAAACAUGGCGGUAGGGGAAGAGUAUUUAAAGAAAAAUAGAAACCUAACUUUGGAAAUAUUCCUUUCUCUAGUUGGUUCAGUGCAAAUUAAAGCCCUCAUAAUUAGCUCUAAGCUUUUAAAUCCUUUUUGUAAAAUUCCAUUUUCAGAGGAGAUGUCACCAUGUGCUAUAUCCCUUUGCCCUCCCUCUGGUGAUAGACAGGAAAAGGAGAGUUCCAGAAUCCCGCCUUUUCCCAGCUAGGCACAGCUUUUUCAGCUUGAGGUACAACAAUUGUAGGAAAUGGCGAAUGAUGGAAACUUUUUCCUAGAAGGGGAGUUUGAAGCCUAGAAGAGCCACUCCUAUUUGAGCUAUAACUACUUACAGAAGCAUGAAUCGGAGGAAACUUGCCACAUUGAGAGGGCCCAAACAGACCAACUUGACAGAGGACUAGAUUGUCACUUCCUGAAAGUGAUGGACUAAAACACUCCCAGGAUGCACCUUCCUCUGACAUUUCCUGAACUUUUGCCUCAUUAUUUAUCUACCCCCAGGAUUCAUGAAAGGGAUUACAACCUGCAUUUUUUUUUUAAAGAAUACAUAUAAAAAGCAGCCACUAAUAAUAAUUCUCUGAAGCAAAUUUCCUAGGGUUAGCAUUUCGUACAUGAGGCUAAGUGGCAAAGAAACAACUUAAAGUUAAAUUUGUAUUUUAAAAUGCACCCCUUCCCCC